Molecule: ribosomal RNA, 253 nt
Filed under: uncultured bacterium
Lineage: Bacteria
Description: partial 16S ribosomal RNA
Rfam family: Bacterial small subunit ribosomal RNA
Source: RNAcentral
UACGAAGGGUGCAAGCGUUACUCGGAAUUACUGGGCGUAAAGCGUGCGUAGGUGGUUUGUUAAGUCUGAUGUGAAAGCCCUGGGCUCAACCUGGGAACGGCAUUGGAAACUGGCUUACUAGAGUGCGGUAGAGGGGUGUGGAAUUCCCGGUGUAGCAGUGAAAUGCGUAGAUAUCGGGAGGAACAUCUGUGGCGAAGGCGACACCCUGGACCAGCACUGACACUGAGGAGCGAAAGCCAGGGGAGCAAACGGG